UCCGGUUUGUCACCGGCAGUCACCUUAGAGUGCCCAACUAAAUGCUGGCAACUAAGAUCAAGGGUUGCGCUCGUUGCGGGACUUAACCCAACAUCUCACGACACGAGCUGACGACAACCAUGCACCACCUGUCACCUUGUCCCCCGAAGGGGAACGCUCUAUCUCUAGAGGUGUCAAGGGAUGUCAAGACCUGGUAAGGUUCUUCGCGUUGCUUCGAAUUAAACCACAUGCUCCACCGCUUGUGCGGGCCCCCGUCAAUUCCUUUGAGUUUCAGCCUUGCGGCCGUACUCCCCAGGCGGAGUGCUUAAUGUGUUAACUUCGGCACUAAGGGCAUCGAAACCCCUAACACCUAGCACUCAUCGUUUACGGCGUGGACUAC
RNAcentral lists this unclassified non-coding RNA (379 nucleotides) under Bacillus sp. (in: firmicutes). RNAcentral's name for it is "Bacillus sp. (in: Bacteria) contains 16S-23S intergenic spacer region". Lineage: Bacteria; Bacillati; Bacillota; Bacilli; Caryophanales; Bacillaceae. The record is from RNAcentral.